Molecule: long non-coding RNA, 2530 nt
Organism: Colossoma macropomum (tambaqui)
Lineage: Eukaryota; Metazoa; Chordata; Actinopteri; Characiformes; Serrasalmidae
Exons: 3
Source: RefSeq, a predicted model, not a curated record
UUCAACCGGACGUGUGGAUCGGUUUGUUUUAAUAGAACAGAACCGAUUCAAAAGAACCGAUUCUUGACGAAUCAAACACCGUUGCUGCCCGCGUAGCAACACAGCUUAUCUAUGUUUACUCAACUGCGGCACUGAGGCGCUGCUCUAAUUAGCCUGAUCACCCACCUCCACAGCCCCAGCCUUCGCUCUCCCCGCAGGGAGGGGGAUUCCUGUGCCAGAUGGCGCCGCGUUCUCCACUCUCAAAGCCCCGCACCUGCCUACCCAACUCCCUCCAAGAACCACAUGCUAUCUACCAUCUCCAGUCUCCCCCAGGCUGGAGUACAGGGCGAGGCUAGAUCUCCGUAGAGGAAGCGGCGGUUGUCACGGAAAUAGCGUGGCUUGCCAAGCUAAUAGCCACCACGACCACAAGAGAAGUCCCGUCGUGGAAAAGGGGGAAAGAGGCACCAUCUAAUUCCAGCCGUUCCUGCUUCACAAGGCCCGAACGUCAGCUAAAUACAACCCAACGAAAACACACACACAAGACGAAGAUCUCCCAGCCAGAGUGAACUGUGACUGGAGGAAGAGCUCUGAUUAAAAGAAAACAGGUCAAAACUGUUCCCAGACACUGAUGCAUAUUCUUCUACAGUAGCAGCUAGCAUUAAAAAUCCAAACUUGACAUACAAGCACACUUAAGCUUUUAACAUACAAAUUCAUAUUAAGUAGUAUAACAGCACCAUAGCCCAAAGUUUUACACCCAGUUCUAAAAGGAAGUCAGCGGGUUACUGAGCCUUGAGAACCAUUUGCAGGCAUAUGGAAAUAAACUUCAGCAGGAAUGAAAGCCAUUUGUUGUAGGGGAGGGUUUAAGAAAAGCUAGACAGCUCCAUAAAACUCAAUUACUUAGCCUUUUUUUUUAACAGUUCCAGUGCUUUUGUUGUUUGGGAGCCCUUUAAUAUGCGGGUAGUAAAGAUAAAGAGAGAAAAGAAAAAGUAGGAGGCGACAGCCAAGUCUGAAGUGACUGAGGCCGACCUCAAAGUUUAAUUCUGACUCAGGCUGCCAAUUUGUAGCUGGGAUAUUUCAAAAACCGGCUGCUUUGAUAACUGGUUCACAGUUCUGUGGGCACUAGUUGUCAGUUAGGUGUGUUUUUCCCUUUUUCUAUCUCUAUCUAUUUAUUUCUUGCUGUUUUUCAAUUUCACAUUUCUUUUUGCUCUUCAUAAUGAAGGAAUGCACCCCCGAUCUGAUUCACUAUGAUGAGAAAUAGUUGAUAUUAGCUUAGAUUACAUUCUUAGUCUUAGGAGAGGAAAUUUGUCUGUCCAGUCUGUGCCAUACAUACAUUUGUUAAGAUCAAAAAAAGAAGAAAAAAUACAAUAUGAUUGCUAUCUUUAUUAUGAUAAAUUACACAAUAUAUUGCUUUAUAAAAACAGACUAAGACCAAGGUGGUGUUUACAAGAUAUCCAUUUAAAGAAAAUUUAAACAAUUUAAAUACGCAUUGCUGGUUUGUUGUGGGUUGAUUGUGGGCAGAGAUCAGUGCAAGCAGGAAACUCAUACACACAUGAAAGGUCCUCAGCAAACACUACUAGCUGUUGCUGCUCCUUUUAUCAAAGGAAGCAAAAACACAUAAGUUUCAGUCAAAGCAGUCAAUGUUGUACUAUAUCAUUAGAGCUGUACUGUACAGCUCUGGAUGUUAAUCAACAGCCGCAGUUAGUUUCUCCUCCAUGUUGUUUAAAAUCAACAGGACUGACUGAAGUCCCACCCCACACCGUCUCCUACUGGCUGACUCAUUGGUAAAUUAGACUGUGCUCUGUCAAAAGUUUAGCUUUUACACACUGUCAUGCGCUGGUGUCUGCUGUCCUUUUGGCAAGAGAUACCAAAAUGUCCUUGUGAAUAUAGUCUAGCUGUAGAAUUAAAAUAACAAGUGAAAAAUAACAAGGAGCUGAUUGGAUGUUAGCCCAUUAAGCCAUUAUGUCUUAUUUAUUUUAGCCAUUUGUUAUAGUUUUCUGCGUUUCUUAUUGCACUGAACAUAAAUGAUAAUCAUCUUAUAUUUAACAUUUUGUCACUACUGUUUACUGGUGAUUUGUGUCUAGUCUAACUUGUUAGCAAGCCUCAGAAAAGCUAAAUAUCAUGAUACCGUAUAUGAAGAUAUUCACAAUGGGCCUCAUUCACCAAUAUAUUCCUAAGUUUUUUUUUUAAACCUGUUCUUGAGGAAGGUCCUAAGAAAUAGUCUAUGUUAAAUUCAUGGCGUGUUUUUAAGCUGCAGAAUUGUUCGUACCUUUGUGCUCUUGAGUGUGUAGAUGCCGUUCUUACCUAUGAACAAAUCCCAAAUAAGUAAAUAUUGGUGAAUGUCAAAAUCUUUGUGAAAACUGCAUAAGUGGGUUUUAAGAAGAAAUUUCUUCCUAUGAACAGCUCGUGAGUGAGUCCCAACAUUAGCAUCAUGAUAUCAAAUUUUUUUCCACCAAAAAUAAGAAAAAUCCUGGGUCCAUAUUCAUGGAAAGUCACUGAGUGCUGAUUCAGGAACAGUUUUAACUCGCUUUUACUGCCAUAAUGGAUAGUAAUA